Non-coding RNA from Dipodomys ordii (Ord's kangaroo rat), 72 nucleotides. Lineage: Eukaryota; Metazoa; Chordata; Mammalia; Rodentia; Heteromyidae. The record is from Rfam.
GGGAAGUUGGCUCAGUGGUAGAGUGCUUGCCUUGCAUGCAUGAGGCCCUGGGUUCGAUUCCUUAGCACCACA